RNAcentral lists this ribosomal RNA (781 nucleotides) under uncultured bacterium. Its description in RNAcentral is "bacterial SSU rRNA". It matches the Rfam family "Bacterial small subunit ribosomal RNA", at positions 8 to 796 of the family's 1533-position model. The record is from RNAcentral.
AGAGUUUGAUCAUGGCUCAGGACGAACGCUAGCGGCGUGCCUAAGGUAUGCAAGUCGAACGGACGGGGGAGCUUGCUCUCCCGUUAGUGGCGAACGGUCGAGUAACACGUAGACUACCUGCCUUCCAGUGGGGGACAACCGCUCGAAAGGGCGGCUAAUACCGCAUACGGCGAGGGAGCGCCUGCUCCCCUGGCCAAAGGGUUGGCGCAAGUCAGCUCGCUGGAAGAUGGGUCUGCGGCCUAUCAGCUAGUUGGUGAGGUAACGGCUCACCAAGGCGACGACGGGUAGCGGGUCUGAGAGGAUGAUCCGCCGGACGGGGACUGAGACACGGCCCCGACUCCUCCGGGAGGCAGCAAUGAGGAAUAUUGCGCAAUGGGCGAAAGCCUGACGCAGCGACGCCGCGUGGGUGAGGAAGUCCUUCGGGAUGUAAAGCCCUUUUGCCGGGGACGAUAAAAGACGGUACCCGGCGAAUAAGCCCCGGCUAACUACGUGCCAGCAGCCGCGGUAAUACGUAGGGGGCAAGCGUUGUCCGGAUUUACUGGGCGUAAAGCGCGCGUAGGCGGAAGCUCAAGUCUGGCCUGAAAGCCCCCGGCUCAACCGGGGAGUGGGGCUGGAAACUGGGUUUCUUGAGGGCGAUAGAGGAGUGUGGAAUUCCUGGUGUAGCGGUGAAAUGCGUAGAGAUCAGGAGGAACACCCGUGGCGAAGGCGGCACUCUGGGUCGGCCCUGACGCUGAGGCGCGAAAGCGUGGGGAGCGAACGGGAUUAGAUACCCUAGUAGUCC